UUUUCUUUCCAAACUUUUCAUCUCGCCCUCUAUGAAAUUAUUCUUCCUACAAACUAAAUUUUCUUGUUCAGUAUUACCUAUAAUACUACAAAGCCUUGCUUCGUUUUAAGUAUUGUAACUCCCGAUCACCGCUAUCCUUUCCGAUUGAUCUGAACCCCAUAACGCAUGUCAAGGCUCUGCCCGACUAAGUUCGUUUGGGUUCUGUCUCGGGACAUCGGGACAAGGUUGAUUUAGGGGUACUAUACUUACCACGAGUAGAUUAUAUAUUUUUAUAUAUAUAUAGCCCAAAAGUUAUACCCAAAAUUUAUACCAGGAGUCUUUCUAGUUGAACCCUAAAGUUACACAGUGGGUCCAUUCUCUUUAUUUUAUUCUCUUUUUAUGAUCUACCCAAAACUAUUAUUUAUUAUUCUAUUUUGUAAACAACUCUCAUCAAAAGUCAUACCUAUUAUUUUAUUUACUCAAUAGGAAACCCUAGUUGAGACACCCAAGUAAUCCUACACAACUCCUAAAAUUUUCAUAACAAUCAAAAUCAAGAUCAGGGCCCCUAAAACUUAGGAGGGGGAUAUUCCCACUUGAUAAUUAUCUUUAUAUCUUGUUGUCAAAAUUCGAAUUUAAUAUUCCGUCGACUCAUCAAGCCUACACACAUACGUGGCAAGCCUAUAGUGAAAAGGUGUCCCUUACGGACCGUAAGGGAUAAGGCUUACGGUCCGUAAGCCUGUCAAAUUUCGUGUAUAAAUAGCAGGCAUCGGCACUUGCAGUCUGCUGUUCAUUCGACGAUUAAAUUCCGAUUAUACACCGAGUUAUCGUCUAAAUACUCUAAAAACACACACGCGAAUCACUAAUUAGUAUAGCAGGGUGCUGCUACGAUACAGGGUAUUAACUCGAUCGCUAUUACGAUUCAUUUUCCGACCGAUCAAUAUAUCCAAUGGAUGUUUAAGUGCCACCCACAUUAGGGUUAUACUUUGUCGUUCGUCGUUAAUUCGAUGGAUGUUUAAGUAUCGUACUUUGUCGUUCGUCGUUAAAUCGAUGAAUGUUUAAGUAUCGCACUUUGUCGUUCGUUGUGAGAAUUUGAUCUCGUGAGUUAUCGUAAUUGUUGUAUUAAGUUACCUACCUAGUUCGUGUGCACUAGGUUACAAGGCUAAAUCAAUAGGCUAAGCUCUCCUGUAUAAAUCUGCAAUAUAUCAAGGCUUGUCUGUAGACUAAACUUUGGCCGUAUGAAUCUGCAUGAUUAUAAUAAUUAUAAUUACAGUGAUUAA
Molecule: long non-coding RNA, 1256 nt
Filed under: Helianthus annuus (common sunflower)
Lineage: Eukaryota; Viridiplantae; Streptophyta; Magnoliopsida; Asterales; Asteraceae
Description: hypothetical non coding rna
Source: RNAcentral